GUCUAUGGCCAUACCACCCUGAACACUCCCAAUCUCGUCUGAUCUGGGAAGCUAAGCAGGGUCAGGCCUAGUUAGUACUUGGAUGGGAGAACAUUCUCCAGGAUAGACCACAUGUUAGGCCACAGAAC
Molecule: ribosomal RNA, 128 nt
Filed under: Pongo abelii (Sumatran orangutan)
Lineage: Eukaryota; Metazoa; Chordata; Mammalia; Primates; Hominidae
Source: RNAcentral